GGACACAUGGUAUAGUUGGUUAUCGCUCCUCCUUAGCAUACUCAUAUGCGGGAGGUCGCCGGUUCGAUCCCGGGUGUGUCUA
Non-coding RNA from Lyophyllum atratum, 82 nucleotides. Lineage: Eukaryota; Fungi; Basidiomycota; Agaricomycetes; Agaricales; Lyophyllaceae. The record is from the annotation of a GenBank genome assembly.